UCCCCGUUAUGCAGGGCAGUCUGACCAGAGUGCUUCCGAUUACUCGGAGUGGCAACAGGUCAUAGGGGUUGCGCUCGUUACCGGACUUAACCGAACACCUCACGGCACGAGCUGACGACAGCCAUGCAGCACCUGUGUAUGCUGGUAUUGCUACCUCGUUAGACUUUCAUCCUUCUACUACAUACAUGUCAAGGCCAGGUAAGGUUCUUCGCGUUGCAUCGAAUUAAGCCACAUGCUCCACCGCUUGUGCGGGCCCCCGUCAAUUUCUUUGAGUUUUAAUCUUGCGACCGUACUCCCCAGGCGGCGCAUUUAUCGCGUUAGCUACAAGACGGAAGGGGUCGAAUCCUCCCACCUCAAAUGCGCACCGUUUACGGCUAGGACUAC
This 384-nucleotide unclassified non-coding RNA is filed under the name uncultured Candidatus Methylacidiphilaceae bacterium. RNAcentral describes it as "uncultured Methylacidiphilaceae bacterium contains 16S-23S intergenic spacer region". The record is from RNAcentral. Lineage: Bacteria; Pseudomonadati; Verrucomicrobiota; Methylacidiphilae; Methylacidiphilales; Methylacidiphilaceae.